RNAcentral lists this ribosomal RNA (468 nucleotides) under uncultured bacterium. RNAcentral's name for it is "partial 16S ribosomal RNA". It matches the Rfam family "Bacterial small subunit ribosomal RNA", at positions 28 to 507 of the family's 1533-position model. The record is from RNAcentral.
GAUGAACGCUGACAGAAUGCUUAACACAUGCAAGUCUACUUGAAUUUGGGUUUUUUAACUUCGAUUUGGGUGGCGGACGGGUGAGUAACGCGUAAAGAACUUGCCUCACAGCUAGGGACAACAUUUGGAAACGAAUGCUAAUACCUGAUAUUAUGAUUAUAAGGCAUCUUAGAAUUAUGAAAGCUAUAUGCGCUGUGAGAGAGCUUUGCGUCCCAUUAGCUAGUUGGAGAGGUAACGGCUCACCAAGGCGAUGAUGGGUAGCCGGCCUGAGAGGGUGAACGGCCACAAGGGGACUGAGACACGGCCCUUACUCCUACGGGAGGCAGCAGUGGGGAAUAUUGGACAAUGGACCAAGAGUCUAAUCCAGCAAUUCUGUGUGCACGAUGACGUUUUUCGGAAUGUAAAGUGCUUUCAGUUGGGAAGAAAAAAAUGACGGUACCAACAGAAGAAGUGACGGCUAAAUACGUG